AAUACAUGCAAGUCGAACGAACUUCCGUUAAUUGAUUAUGACGUGCUUGCACUGAAUGAGAUUUUAACACGAAGUGAGUGGCGGACGGGUGAGUAACACGUGGGUAACCUGCCCAGAAGCAGGGGAUAACACCUGGAAACAGAUGCUAAUACCGUAUAACAGAGAAAACCGCCUGGUUUUCUUUUAAAAGAUGGCUCUGCUAUCACUUCUGGAUGGACCCGCGGCGCAUUAGCUAGUUGGUGAGGUAACGGCUCACCAAGGCGAUGAUGCGUAGCCGACCUGAGAGGGUAAUCGGCCACAUUGGGACUGAGACACGGCCCAGACUCCUACGGGAGGCAGCAGUAGGGAAUCUUCCCCAAUGGACGCAAGUC
This 371-nucleotide ribosomal RNA is filed under the name Pediococcus acidilactici. RNAcentral's name for it is "bacterial SSU rRNA". It matches the Rfam family "Bacterial small subunit ribosomal RNA", at positions 50 to 383 of the family's 1533-position model. Lineage: Bacteria; Bacillati; Bacillota; Bacilli; Lactobacillales; Lactobacillaceae. The record is from RNAcentral.